GACGAACGCUGGCGGCGUGCCUAACACAUGCAAGUGGAGCGACGAACCAGGGCUUGCCCUGGAGCAAAGCCGCGAACGGGUGAGUAACACGUGGGUAACCUGCCCCGAUGAUUGGGACAACCCGAGGAAACUCGGGCUAAUACCGAAUGUGCCCUGCCUGCCCAAGCCGGCGUGGGGAAAGGAAGCUUCGGCCUCCGCAGCGGGUGGGGCCCGCUGCCCAUUAGCUAGUUGGUGAGGUAAAGGCUCACCAAGGCAACGAUGGGUAGCUGGUCUGAGAGGACGAUCAGCCACACUGGGACUGAGACACGGCCCAGACUCCUACGGGAGGCAGCAGUGGGGAAUCUUGCGCAAUGCGCGAAAGCGUGACGCAGCAACGCCGCGUGGGGGAAGAAGGCCUUCGGGUUGUAAACCCCUUUCAGGAGGGACGAAGGUGCGGCGGCGAAUAGCCGACCGCACUGACGGUACCUCCAGAAGAAGCCCCGGCUAACUACGUGCCAGCCGCCGCGGUAA
Molecule: ribosomal RNA, 510 nt
Filed under: uncultured bacterium
Lineage: Bacteria
Description: partial 16S ribosomal RNA
Rfam family: Bacterial small subunit ribosomal RNA
Source: RNAcentral